CUUGGUCAUUUAGAGGAAGUAAAAGUCGUAACAAGGUUUCCGUAGGUGAACCUGCGGAAGGAUCAUUAUUGAAUAAACUUGAGCAGGCUGUUGCUGGCCCCUCCUAUGGGGGGGUAUUGUGCACGCUUGUCAUAUUUAUCUCUCCAACUGUGCACAAGCUGUAGACCCUUGGAUUAGUCCAGAUUGAGGACUGCUGUGCUUGGAACAGCUUUGCCUUGUAGGUCUACAUUUUUUUAAUCACAAACCCUGAACCUGUUUAGAAUGUUGAUUUGGGUCAUUUGUACCUAUAAAAGUUAAAUAUACAACUUUCAGCAACGGAUCUCUUGGCUCUCGCAUCGAUGAAGAACGCAGCGAAAUGCGAUAAGUAAUGUGAAUUGCAGAAUUCAGUGAAUCAUCGAAUCUUUGAACGCAUCUUGCGCUCCUUGGUAUUCUGAGGAGCAUGCCUGUUUGAGAGUCAUUAAGUUCUCAACCACACCAAUUUUAUAUUGGAUGUGGCUUGGAUAUGGGGGUCAUGUUUUUGCAGGCUUUGGAAAACAAAGUCAGCUCCCCUAAAAUGUAUCAGUAGUAUCUGAGCAGAAACUACUAUCGGUGUGAUAAUUAUCUAUGCCUUUGGUGAACUGCAAGAAACAGAUUACACUGCUUCUAAUGAGUGCAAACCCCUUUGUUGGGGCACUUUUUUGACAAUUUGACCUCAAAUCAGGUAGGACUACCCGCUGAACUUAAGCAUAUCAAUAAGCGGAGGA
RNAcentral lists this ribosomal RNA (743 nucleotides) under Inocybe umbrosa. RNAcentral's name for it is "eukaryotic LSU rRNA". The stretch from base 304 to 457 matches the Rfam family "5.8S ribosomal RNA". Lineage: Eukaryota; Fungi; Basidiomycota; Agaricomycetes; Agaricales; Inocybaceae. The record is from RNAcentral.